Molecule: ribosomal RNA, 253 nt
Filed under: uncultured bacterium
Lineage: Bacteria
Description: partial 16S ribosomal RNA
Rfam family: Bacterial small subunit ribosomal RNA
Source: RNAcentral
UACGUAGGGUGCAAGCGUUAAUCGGAAUUACUGGGCGUAAAGCGUGCGCAGGCGGUUUGGUAAGACAGAUGUGAAAUCCCCGGGCUUAACCUGGGAACUGCAUUUGUGACUGGCGGGCUAGAGUAUGGCAGAGGGGGGUAGAAUUCCACGUGUAGCGGUGAAAUGCGUAGAGAUGUGGAGGAAUACCGAUGGCGAAGGCAGCCCCCUGGGCCAAUACUGACGCUCAUGCACGAAAGCGUGGGGAGCAAACAGG